RNAcentral lists this non-coding RNA (22 nucleotides) under Arabidopsis thaliana (thale cress). Lineage: Eukaryota; Viridiplantae; Streptophyta; Magnoliopsida; Brassicales; Brassicaceae. The record is from RNAcentral.
UCGGCAUUGUUGGUUUGCACGA